Molecule: long non-coding RNA, 290 nt
Filed under: Erythranthe guttata (spotted monkey flower)
Lineage: Eukaryota; Viridiplantae; Streptophyta; Magnoliopsida; Lamiales; Phrymaceae
Description: long non-coding RNA (EGUT_LNC000614)
Source: RNAcentral
CAGAAUCGGCAGGGUGCCUUAAACAACCAUCGUUACACCGGGACUCAGCAUGCCAUCUCAUAUGAAUUGAUGUUUUCUCGCAUAUGAACAAACGUCUGAGUCUAGGAAUUAACGGGAAGUGUCGGAGGACUUUCUUAGGUACUCUUUUGCGAUGAGAGGUUGAACAACUUGGUUCAUUUUCUGUGGGACUCUUCCAUCUUGAAGCAUUACACACUUUGAAUUUGUCCAAAUCUUUGUCAUUCUUCCAGAACAACAUACAAUCAUUCUCACAUGCAUCAAUUUUGACAUAA